Molecule: long non-coding RNA, 21086 nt
Filed under: Carica papaya (papaya)
Lineage: Eukaryota; Viridiplantae; Streptophyta; Magnoliopsida; Brassicales; Caricaceae
Description: long non-coding RNA (CPAP_LNC011431)
Source: RNAcentral
GUUUGAAUAUUACCUGCUUGAAGAUUUUUCAGAUUGUGUUUUUUCUUUUUGUCUUUAUCAUUUCUUGUUACCUUUAUUUUCAUUUUUCCCCUAUGGGUUCCUGAGUUACUUUUUAAUGUUAGCAGACAUGUGCGUCCUUGCUAAUUGGCUUCAAAGACUUGCGUUAUAAUAUGAGAGUUAAAUUUUUGAGAAGGAAAAUUAGUGUUUUAUAUGAAAUUUGAAUUGUUACCGUGGGAAAGCAAUAUAUAAUUUUGUAUCUGAGGCUAUCCUUUUUUAAAUUGUCAUCAUGAGAAGAUAUUAUAUAAUUGAGACCCUUGCUUUGUAUAUUCUUUGAUUGGAUAUGGAGGCUUUUUAAGCCUUCUGAGUUAGGAAUGUAAGCAUUAGGUCGUGCAGAUUCUGCAUUUGCUCAGUCAUCUGAGAUGGAGCCAAGGGGCAGUUGAUAGACACUUGGCCUUUGAGUUAGCUGGUACUUCUCCACCUCCACAAGUUGGAGGUUGGAGGUUCAAUUAGUGCCCAUGGAAAUGGAAAUUGUGUCUCUAUUAUUGGGCUUGCAACAAAAGCGGCGGGGGGAGGGUAUCUACUUGGAGGUUCAAGUAGAUGCCCAAUAGCUAUCCAGUUAUACAUUAUUUUGUGUUAGUAUUUCAAGACAUCGUUCUUGUGGUUUCAGCUCAGAUGUUUGUAUCCUUGGAUUGAAAACUUGCUACCUGAAAUCACAUUAUUUGGUAUCAGCUGCCUAGUCAUCUAUUGGAAGUUAUUUUUCUUUGAAAGGAAAAUUAUUGAAGUUCUUUUUCUGGAUAAGGAAAGAAUUAUCAUUGUAAACAAGGACCUAGAAGAAGUGCUGGUGGAGGUUGGUACUGAUAUCUACUAAAGUCCUUUUGGUGCCCUAUAUUUAAUAGGCAUUGUUACUUUUCAACUGAGACUUUCAGUAAGAGUUUUAUCGCUAUUUUACGUUCAGUAAAUUCAAGUUAGAUAUGAGGAUAUUGUGUUUUCAGGAUGAUGGCUCUGUUGCAGUUUGUACAGAUCGUAUUCUGGAGUCAACUUUUAGGCAUUAUAGUCUAGGUUGAUUAUCCUAUAUAGUUUGGGCCAGUACUUGUUGCUAGAAUUAUUCUUCUGUCUUUAUUAGAAGAACUUUGUUUUUGUUUUAACCAUCAGUAGCAGUGUGCUAGUUUUGCCUUUUCCCCUCGAAAUAACAUAGCACAGCCCAGGGUGACUAGUUUAGGUUUAGAACGGAUACUAGCUUGCAACCGAAUAGUUCUGCAGUGGCAGUGGGGGAUAGUCUCAAAUGUGUGGUGGAAAUCAGGAAAUCUUUACCUCCCUAAGAUUUUNNNNNNNNNNNNNNNNNNNNNNNNNNNNNNNNNNNNNNNNNNNNNNNNNNNNNNNNNNNNNNNNNNNNNNNNNNNNNNNNNNNNNNNNNNNNNNNNNNNNNNNNNNNNNNNNNNNNNNNNNNNNNNNNNNNNNNNNNNNNNNNNNNNNNNNNNNNNNNNNNNNNNNNNNNNNNNNNNNNNNNNNNNNNNNNNNNNNNNNNNNNNNNNNNNNNNNNNNNNNNNNNNNNNNNGUUCGUGCAUCGUAAUGUUAUCUCUUGGAUGUAAUUUAUUUCCCGUUAAUUUGAAUAAUAUGUUAUCUGCCAAUGGCCUUGUUUAUGCAGAUAGUAAACUGAAAGGGAGCCUAUAAAGAUUUCUGGAUUAAUAAAGAUUUAAAGAGAAAAGACAUCAUAAAGUGAUGGACAGCAUGCUUAUCUUUGUGCAAAGCCACAAAAAGUAUUAUCCAAAAUAUCACUUUCGCCAGCUGUUAUCCACGCAUGGCUGGGCUGUUCUUUGAUUUUUGGUUUGUGAGGCUUGCUGCCAUUGAAUGAAAUGACUAGCUAAACUUGGUGUGAAAGCUCAUGGGUAUCUCAUCUUUUUCUUCAUCUGUAACCUGUGAAGUAAUUGUUUGAUUAAGAAAAAUUGUAAACUUGAUAUCUUGUUUUCUAUAUACCAUCCAGUUAGGAAAGAAUAUAAAGCCUAUAGUUGGUCAAACAAAGAAUCAUCUUCAAAGAAUGGAAGCCAUUCAAAGUUUUUACUGGUAGAGAAUUUGUUCAAGGAAAAGAUAAUUUGAGGUUUAGAAAGUUGGGGCAAAGAGAGCUUUGGAGUUGUCCGGUGCAGAUCAACCUGUACAACAUUAUAGAGCAUAAAUCUCUCCGUAUAUGGAUCCAAGUAUCAUAUUUUUGUUCAGAAACCUGAAAAGAGGUGCAGGUAAAGGUCAUAUUUUGGUUAACUAGAUUUGAAAGAGGAUGUAAGUAGAAGAUUUGUCAUCCCUACUCAUUUCUGUUUCAAAUUUGUGAUUGAUCUAGUGCAAAAAUGGCUUUAUUUUGAGGUUUCUGAGAGGUAAUAAAUUGGUACUUUCUUUAUGUUGUGUUGAAUACUGACUUAAUUUGUACUCAAUGGUCGAUGCAUGUACUUUUUUUCUUUUGCUUAUUGAUGGAUCUACUUUUCAUUUAUAAAUCAAUUUUGGAUUCUUUGAUGUUAAUUGAAUAUCUUUUUCUUUGGAGUGAAUCUCUUGUAUAUGGUUUUUCUUGUUGCUGUGACAGGGAUCCAGUGCCAAGGAGCCGCUUCCCACAACAAUCAAGAUCUAUCUCACAGUCACUUUCUCCACAUGAUGAGAGGGUUUUCAAGUCGAACCAGAGGUCCCCAAGUUCAAGGGAGAAUGGUCAAAGUCUGCACCAUGAAAGGGACUAUGUACCCAGCAGGUCAAGGAGUCCAAGGGGUAUUAGUCGCAGUCCUUCAAGGUCUCGUUCACGAUCGUUUAGGUAGGCAUGACUGCACAUUGUUAACAGAUUGAUGUCCGGAACCUAGAAGCUCUUUGAUAAAAGUAAAAUUUAGUUGAAAUCUAGGUCUAUAUUUUUAUCCAAGAAUUUAAGAGUCCGCAGUGGCUUCAAAUCCUUCAUUUUUUUGGAUUUUGCUCGUACACUGCCAAUAUUUGUUAGUUUAGGUUUUUGUGCAAGCUAUAUUAUUAUAUUUUGUAGCUUGGAAAAUUCAUAUCUGGCUUGUGCAUGCUUACUGAUCCAGCAUAAGGACCAUCAGUAUGGACUCUCUAUCUGCAUUUAUCUGUCUUCAUCAUAUAUUUAUACAUCGUUUUAAGAGAUCGUUGUUCUUCGUGCAGCCCGCAUUGAUUGCUGUUUGCUGAUCGAUGGUGCUUGUUAGCGUUGCUCCUGUUAGGUAGUGUACUUCUAGUACUAGUAUAUCCAGAUGAAGGUUGUAUCUAGAAAUCUACCAAGUUGUCUAAUGGUGGAUAUAGUUUCUUCUGUGCUUUUUGCUGGAAAAGGUAACUUCUGAUGGACGUCAAACUCAACUGUUUCUUUGACUAUUUUGUUAUAUGUUUUAGUUGAUUGCCUAUUGCCAAACUUGCUAUUAGUGUUUUAUUUUGGCCAAAUUACCUUUUAAGAUGAUUAGUUAAAGGAUUUCUUUUUAAAGGACAACAUAAAAGGAAGUGAAGGGGUUAUAUAUAUACAUGUAUGUAUAUGUAUUUUAAAUAAAUAAUAAUAAGUAAUUCAUUAAACAAUAAUUAAGUAAUAUUUUUAACUAAGAAUCAAUAUUGACGGAAGAAAGUGAACAUUUGUAUAGAAACUGUACAGCUUAGCAAAAAGUUAAUAAGCCCAAACAAACAGGUGUAGUAAAUUGUUACAUAGAUUAUAUUACUAUGAGCAUAAUCUUUUGGUUCACAAUCUACAUAUGCAUGUAAACUUAUAGCAACGAAUUAUAGUUUAUUAUAUUAUAUUUAUAAGUAAUAUAGGUAGUUAUUAUAUGUCAUAAUAUUAUCUUUAGAUAUUUGUUCAAUAUAUUAAUUAUUUAAUGAGAAAUUAGGGAACAAAAUAAUAACAUACCUUUUAUGAUAUGUUUUAUUAUAUAAUUUUAUUAAAUAAAAAUAACUUUUUUAUAAUCUAUUUCUUAUAUAUAGAAAUAAUACUCUAGUUGCCAUAUAUCAGAAUUUUUAAAUAGAUUUUUAAUUAUAUAAACUAUAUAAAUUUAGAACUGUAUCUAAAUCCAAUUCAAAUAUAAUUUUCAAAACAUAUGAAAAUUAUUUUUAAAGGUGGUAUGUAAUUCAAAGCUAUAUAAUCUAAAUAAGAACUUUCUUUUUCAUGUGUCAGUAUUAUUUUUUAAAUAAGAAUUAAAUCUUAUCAAAAAGUCUUUAAAUAUGAAAAUUAUUUAAAUAUUAUCAAAAAGUGUGCUUGACUUUUUUAACAAAAAAAAGUCUAUCUCGUUUUCAAAGUAAUUCUUUUCAAUGUAUAAAUUAUGUUCUAAAAACUAUUUGAAUCCAAAUUCAAAUGCAGUUUAUAAGAUAGUUUUGUAUGAUUAGAAUUUAUGCUAUCAAAUUAAAAUUCUAUUGAAAUUAAAAUUUAAAAAAAAAUUGAACUAAUUUUUAUUAAAACUUUUAUUGAAGGAUAUCUUUUUAUGCAUAAUAAAUAAUACAAACUUAGUUAUAUAUAAUAUAACAUAAAUAAAUUUUUAGGCGACGGCUAAAACUUCAUAGUGAACUAUUUUUUCUUUUUGCCCCUUGCCAUAGACUACCGUGUAGUAAUUAGAUGAAAUUCAAUUUGAACAUUCGAUUAAAUUUAUACUUUAUCACAUUUAAAUUUUUUUUAAAGUUUUUGAAUGUGAUGCACAUAAAUAUUUAAAAUUAGUAUUUUUUAUUAUCACAAGGUUUAAUGAAUACAAUGCAGUUCUAAUAGAGAUGGUAGUUUAUAUAACCUAAACCUCGUUAAGACACAAAUAUUUAGGAAACUACAUAUGGUAUGAAAAAACUUUAUUAAAUAUGAUACAUAAGGAGUUCUUUAGAAAAUCACUGCGUACAGCUUUUUGGCUAGUUAACUGACGAAAUCAUUUUGUCUUUAAGUUACAUAUUUCUUUAUAACACUCUGAACAUUCCAUUAUGCUAAAUGAAAUAUAUAUAUAUAUAUAUAUUAUAAUUGUUAUUCAUUGUCAAUGAAAUAGGCUGUCAAUCAAAGUUGUCUUCAUUUGUAUGACACAAAAUUCUAAAUAUCAUAUAUAUAAAAAUUCUAUUAAAAUACUUGAUAGUGUUUUGCUUGAUGAUUAUGAGUUUGGAUAUUAAGAAUAAAAGCAACAUCUUUAAUAUAAACAUAGUAGUUUAAUAGUUAAAAUCUUAAUGUAUUACUUAAAAAAGUACAAAUUUAAAUUUUAAUAAUAAAUUAUUUUAUAUAUAUAUAUAUUAUAAUUUAAUAAUAAUCGACUCAUAAUAUUUAAUUCAGUAAAUAAAAUGUAAUUUUAUUUCAAUAAGCUAUUAUGACUCAAUAAAAAUUCCUUUUGGUUCAAACAGUGGUUGCUUUAAUUUGGUCAAACUUGAGUUUCAAAAAGAGUUAACAUGACUGGAUGAACUUCCAAUAGUUUCCUCUUUUAAUUAAAAUACAAACCACCCUGAUCACUGAAAGGGGGAAAAAAAAAAAGACUAUAUAAUAGCUAGACAUUCUCAGGAGGCACCAUUCUCCUCCGAGCUAUGUCAGAUUUCAGAUUUUUGAACAAAUAUGACCUUGUGUUAAUAUACAUAACAUGCAUUCUCAUGGUUCAGGUGUUUAGGCAACUAAUAGCGAAUAGAUCAUGGAGCAAGAGAAAAAUGCAUCUUCGACAUAGAUAUCAGAAGGACGAGCUGGACAAAUGAAUGACAUCCAGCCAUCAAGAAUACUACUUAAAAUGAGGACAAGUGAUAUCAGUUUUUCUCCUGGAUCAAUGACACAAAAAACUGAGACAAGCAGAUUUGGAAAAGCAAGAUUUAGGCGACAAAAGUAUCCCCUCAUUGCAAACGGGCAUUGCUUAUUAUGAGAAUGGCAUCACAGAUGUUGUUAGACACUCACUCCAAAGGACAUGCUUUCUCGAAUGCUUGCUGCUCUUUGCGACAUAAAUCAAAUUCAUUCGUAUGGUAAUACAUGCAACCAACAUAGGCAUCCAUCUCUUUCGUGCACCUCUGGUGAAGAUCCUUCAGUCUGCAGGUCAAAAAUUUCGUCGUUAGAAGCAAACAAAUAUGAUGCUAGCAUAGUGAGAAAUUCAUAUUUGGAGAUAGCAUUACUGUUGGCAUUCUCUAUUGGGACAGGUCCGAUAUAAAUGCCUUUCGUUAUUCUUAUGAGUUUUUUCUCAAAUGAUUUUUUUUUUUCUGAUGAUGAUUCAAUGCAGAUGAUUUUAAGUUGGAUAUUCAGCAGCGAUGGUACUACAGCAAUUUCUGGCUAUUUCACCUAUAAGCUCUGGCGGCCUUAAGAAAAUAUUGGAAGAAAAGCAUGCAUGUUCAAACUCAGAAAUAUAAUUAGCUUUCAUACAGAUUGUAGAAUGUGCGUCAGAAAUAUUAAUCAUGUUAAAAGCGAGAGAGAAUAGGUGAUUGGCACUGGUAAGUCCUGUUUUUGAAAAAGAACAAGGGAACAGUAAAAAAAUUGAACAUAUAACCCCAGACAUGGAGAAAUUUCUUCCAAAAUAAAUAAAUUUCUAAUUAGGUGCUAGAUAGCCUAAUUGGUAGAGCUACUUGUAGAUAUUGGUUACUAGUGUGUCAUCCUGGAUAUGAUCAUAGGAGGAGUUUGCUGCGAAAUGUUCAGUUGAAGCAAAAACAAUCAACUGAAGUGCCAACAUGUUAAAUUAACUUCACCAAAGCGCUAGAAUCUGACAACCCUCCUAGGCGAUCCUAUGCAAAGAAACAUGUGGUUACCAAUCAGAUAAAACCCAAUGUUAAUCUUGUGGUCGCUGAACCCAGAUUCUCCUGCAUCAAGGUACCGGCCAUGGAGCAUUUAUUCUAGACUAUAAUUACUAAGAUCACCCAGACGGCCAGCGACAUAUGUACCAAAGUUUUCGAACUUCAUUUGUGGUAUGAGUUCACUGGGUUAAUUUUGGUUCUUGAUCUUGAUAUCUAAAAUUAGCGACAAAGAAGAAUGGCCAAGUUGGUAGAGUAGGAUUCUAAAGAUAGUGUACAGAAAGAGAGAAACAAAAGGUUGUAUUUUAACAAGCUUCUUUUCAAAUUGAGAUUAAUAAUUGGUGAAAUGGAAGAGGUAAAUGUCCAAGUGAAGAGCAAAUUCAUCAAACAACGUUCUCUUUCUAGGAACUAAAAAUUUAUAACUUAUAUUUGUUCGAAACCUAUAAUACAUUAACUCAAUUCUUUAGGAAUUUACAACAUGAAUAUUGUAAUUCUCUACAUAGCUAUAAAGAGGAUUUAAAUCUUAGAUCUCUCCUUGUAGAAAAAGAAAAAGAACCAAACAGAGCAUAAUGUAUCACUAAACUAUUAUUUAUUAUCCAAAUAAUAAAUUUAAAAGUGCUUCAGUGGAACUUCAGAUCAAAAUAACACUUUGACUAAGGUUGGCCCCCUUUAAACCUUGAUUUAGCGUCUAAUUAUGUACAUGUAGCCCGUAUCACGAUCUGGAUAUAGCAUCAUAGGUAUGCUCUACACCAUGCCCUGAUGGUGUGGCUAGUGGGUAUUUAAAUCAAAUCUAGCACACAUUAGUGACUUGGAAGAUUAAGGUGAAAAAGAUCUGGCUAUCAUUGUCAAGCAAAUCCACCAAACAAGCCCAUAUAUACAAAUAGUACUAAAUAUAUAUACUACUUCUAUCAUAUAGGACCACCAUAGUCCAGAAUUUAGCCAAAGCCCAAAGGAGAAGAUGAUGGGUAAAAGUGCAAUAAGGAGAGAAAAAAGUGUGAAUUACUAAGCCCUUGCUAAAAAUAGAAAAGAAAUUACCAUCUAGUUUGAGCAUAUGUGGCAUUUUAUUGCUUUGGCUACUUCACAAACAAGAAGCAAAAAAUUUUUAAAGUUUCAAGCAAUUAAGUUACAGGAGAAUACACUGUAGAGCCUGUCACAACAAAUUUUGGGCACAGUGAGCUUUGGUUGACAGUGCAACUACCACCACAGAAGAUCUUAAACAUUGCGGUUGUGAAAUUUCUGCCAUAUAUCAAAAGGAGGGUUACAAAAGCUAACAUCCAACAUUUAUAACCAAGAUGAUAGGAACAGGUUGAGCUAUUGAUGAGUAUGAAUAACAGUUGGAUGUGUCUUUGUGAACAAAACGAGGAUCAAAGCAUGGUAAUGUGGUUUUUGGUAGUAGCCUCCACAUGAAACCUAGUGAAAAGGCAGCUAACUAGAUUCUAACUAAGAAAGACUGGUUCAAUCCAAAAGAAAAAGGCAGCUGACUAGUUUCUAACUAAGAAAGCUGAUAAAUCAAAGAAUAAAAAAGCUAGAACCGAAAAUUGAUAAUUGGGACCUAUUUGAUAUCUCGAUCUGCAUGUCCUUUCAUUGAGCUACCAAAGUGAAUGAACAUUGGUUGGCUAGUCCUCCUGAACAAAAUCAGGAUCAACCCCCAGUACUGUGGUUUUUGGUGAAAUAGAGAUAAGCAAAAAGAGCAUUUGAUUGUUGUAAUCAAAAGAAAAAGCUGAAAAUUUUGUUUAGCCUUGCUUAGGUAAUUACUGAGGUAUUGAAUUUCUUCAUUAUCACCAUCCUCAAUCCUCAGAAUUACUGCUGAAGAGAAGACUAGAAAUGUAAACUGGAAAAUUUGUCAUCUAAUUUAAACUGCCAUGGCCAUGUCCUAAACUCGGUCAACGAAAAUGGUGAUAAGAAGAAACAAUACACAAUGGUAUAUCUACUUCAACUAAUAAAACUAGAAUUCCUCUUCACUGGCAAAGUCGAAAAAACAAAACACUAUUAUACCAGUUCUAGAUUCCCAGCGCAUUUCAUUAUGGACCUAUUCCAUCAAUCAUAUAAAGAGAAUUAAAACAAAAAUGAUUCUGGUUCUUCUUUACCCUCAAAUAACCAAAAUCCAAAUCCCAGUUUCCUUCAUACCCUAAUCAAUUCCAGCCUAGAAAGAAAUUUUAUGCAGUACAUAUAUAAAAAAAUGCAGAUUCAGUAUAAAUGAAUGUGUGUACUCGGCUCAAGAAAACAAUAAAUCACAAACUUCAAGCAAGAUUAACUACAAAGAAAUGGGCAUGAUGGAGACCCUUACAGGCCGAACACGCAGCGAGUGACUUCACGGCCUUGUUCGAGGCAUUUCUCUGGAUUCGGGUCCUUCUUUUUGCACUUCAGGAACGCGACAUUCUCCGGCAUGCAUCGUAUCCCUAUGUGCUUCGAAGACGCCGUCAGCACCGCCGAAGUCGGGAUCGGAUUUCCCGCUGCAUCCACCGCGCUCGCCAUUUCCUGAUUUUUAAAUGAAAUUAUAUGCCUAAACAAAUAACACAAAUGAUCAAACGAUUAGCCACAUUCCGAAUAAAAUGUUUGCAUCUUUUCUUUUUACCUGUAUUGACUUUUCCCAGUAUCAAGACAAGUAACCAGUGGUUUACCGAAACAAAAAUGAAAUUACAAGUCUAAUUAAUUUACCUUCUGGCUAGAUAGAUUGAUCUUCUCUACUGAGAAGAGCAGAAGGGGCACAAGCAGGAGACUGAAUUGGAGACACAGGAGAAAUCCGAGAAGAGGAAAUGUUAAUUUGCGCCGAGAGGAGAGCCAAGGGUUUUUUAGUCAUAUAAUUUCAAGAACGAGGGUAUUUGUGGUAUUUGACUUUCAACUAGGGGUUUUAGAAUUUAGAUUACCUUCUCUUCAAAAUCCUUCUGUUUCUCUUCUCUUCCGCUUCUUCACAGAAUCUCGGCAUCGACCCGGACAAAAUUACAGUACGUUGGAAAACCGUUUCUUUCUUUUUUUCUUCUGACCUGUUUUUUUGCUUAAAAAGGAACAUUUUCUGCCAGUCCAAACAAAAAUCUGUAGUUUAUCUAUCAGAAUUUUGAGGGUACAACUGCAUAGAACCAGUUUACUAUAGUUCAAAUGCGUUUUCUGUUUACGUAUCUCUCUGUGUCUCUGUAUGUCUCUUAAUCCUGGUUUGCUACGCAUCUUGUAUUUUGGGGUUGAUAAUUGUGAGGGAAGUGCUAUCUCUUCAUUCAGUGUCAUGCUUGAAGUGAAUCCUGUUGCUACAGGAGGCUUUAUUGUAUAUAAGACCAUGGAUGAUGUAUGGAAGAUCUUGUCUGGUUUGGUAGAGAACAGAAAUUAGAAGUAAAUGUAGUUGUCUGCUUAUUUUUCAUUGCUGACAAAAAUGAUGAGAUUUCUACUUUUGCUUUAAAAUUUAGCUUGUACUCUGUGGAAUAUUUCAUUUUCCAUGUUUAAAAGCAUAUUAUUUGCCUAAGAUGGAUUUAAGAGUUAAAAAUGUUUCGCUGCAUGUUUUUUUGGUCAAUUUAUAAGCUCUCUAAUGGCAUUUUUAAUAUUCUUGACAUGUUUGGUAAAUACUAUUGAGCUUAUAAACUAGGCAGAAUGUUAGCUCUUGUUACAAAGUUUUUUAGAAAGCUGGUAAGGAAGGCUUUUGCUUCGGAGAAUAUUGCAGUCUUAGGUCCCAAUAUUUUAAACAUAAUUGGGUUAUAUUUGUUUGUCAUUUUAGUAGAGUUUCAUAAAAUUUUAUUGUCCAACAAUUUGGUAAGUUAUCCUUUGAAAAGAUUUAACAGUUUAUACGCUAUUGAGGCACUUCUAAUAUCUUAUAUUUUAUGCUGCACCAAACACCUUAAACGGCAUAUCCUAAUAGAUGGUUGUGCAUCCAUAAAGAUAUGAGAGUUCUUUUCGCUCUCUUUAGGGGGUUUGGAGGAAGACAAAGAACACUUGGACUUUCUUUAGGGGCUAAAUUCAAUGGUCAAGUAUUUAAGAUGGAGAGAAGACUCUUCUGUUGGAAGAAUCUCCCUAAAAGCAAUAGGUUCAUUCUCGCCAGAAGUACGCUAUCUGACUUGCUUAUUUAUUCCCUUUCUCUUUUCCUCAUCCCCACUAGCAUUGUUAAGAGGCUAGAAUCACUGCAUUAUUGCUUCCUUCUGAGGAGGUGUUACUAUCUUGUGGCUUGGGAUGUGUUGAAGAGACCUUUUGCCUUGGGGGGCCUUGGCAUAAGAUAUAUUAUGGUUGUGAUGAAAGCUUUAUUGACUAAAUGGCUUUUAAAGUUAAUGUAUUGCGGAACAGUUUGUGGAGAGGUGUGAUUAUUAGCAAAUAUGGAUUGGAAAAUAGGGGCUGGAGGAUGACUCAGAGUAUACAAAGUUUGGUACUAUUAAAUGGAAGUGCAUUAGUAAGCUUUUGCUGACUCAGGCUUUGGAAAUUGUUUUGCUGACCUGAUGCUCUUUAGGCUUUAGCAAUGGCUAAAUGACUGAAUGUUGAGUUUCUGGGUUGAUUGUUGGUGUAGAAAGAGACCUCUCAAAGAAAGGUUCUCAAACAUUUUUGCUCUUGCAAAGGACAAGGAUGUUCAGUCAAGGAAAAUGGAAAGAGAAGGAGAGAGAGAAAGAAAAAUAAAUGAAAAUGAAAAGAUUUUUUUUAAAGAAUGAGAAUAAACAAAGGCCCAAUACCUAUUUUUAAUCAUAUUUGACCCAUUUAGUCUAUUUUUAAUUGUAACCCAAGUUUAAAAUCAAGCUCAAAUUCUAUUCUAUCUCAAAGUUAAAUUCAGCCCCAUUAAGGAAAAACCCUAAAAUCUAAAAGCUCAACCCUUUGUUCGAGCCUUUCCAACCCACCAUUUAAUCUGGGAAGCCCAAAACCUAUUCAGAAGAAAACUCAGCCCUAUUUCCAUUUUUAAAUACGAGGCACGAAACACCAAGGUCAACCCGUCCCAACAGGAAAUUACAUGUAACCUCGGCCCAGAAGAAAAAUGAGAGGUAGUCUUACGCCUAAGGCUGCAUCGUCUUUUGGUUUGUUUAAGACGACAUUGUUUCGGCUGAGUAUAAAAGGAGGCAAUUGGGCUUUUGGUCGUUGGUGGUGGCUUCUCUCUACUUUCAGAGGGUUCGAAGCGUGAGGCACGUUGCUGAAGAAAUAAUUUCCAGAAGUGUGAGCUAGCUUAACCUUUUGAGGAGAGAGGAAGAACCUGGUGCGGAGAUUUUUUGGGUUUGAGAGGGACAAAAAUUGAUGAAAUAAUGUGAAGGUUUUUUGGUUUGAAAUUUAAAAGUAGAGACAGGUAAUUGUUGGGGGGGGGGGGGGGGGUAAGAAUAGAGAAACAGUGAUAAUUUGGGUAUGUGCAACAGUGGGUAAGUUGGAGAAGAAGUGAAGGAAGAGUUCGGGGCUAAGGUUGCCAAUUUUAGGUAUUCUUUUAGUUUGUUGAAUUUUAUUUGCUUUAUAACCUGGUUUUGUUGCUUUGAUUUAAAGAUGCUUUGAAUUUUAGAGGAAAAGAUGUAAUUUAUUUAAUAGAAAUGAGAUUUCUAUGUUCAAAAUGCAUGUCCAGCCAUGAUAAAUUCUUCAUUGCUUCCUUAAAUUACUAGCAGUUGCUGUAGUUUAGUAUAAUAAUUAGAGCUCUAUUCUGAUUUUUCCUUUCUGAACAUCAAUUAUAAUAUAGCAUAUUAUUGUUUGUGAUUUGAUUGUUUUAAGUUUGGGUUUGCUGUUGAUGAAUAAACAUGGUGCUUUGAAAUGGGUAUUUUCUUUGCUGUUUAGACUGAGUAGUUUUCGAUUUAAUAACUCUAAUUGCUAUUGAUGAACAAAUUUGGUUCUUCUGAAAUUGGAUGAUUUAUUUAGUGCUUGAGCUGACCUGAGUUCAGUCGUGUUUAACAUGAUUUCUGAAUAUGCUGGUUUAUAUUAGGAAAUAUGGAUAUAUUAGUAAUACCCUUGCUUGAGGGAUCCUUUUGUUUGUUUCUGCUCUAAGUCGAACUCGAGAUCGAAUUCAAAAUCGAAGGAUAUGGUCAACAAAAAUAAAAAUCAAACUAAAAAGAAAACGAUUUUUUUGUUCGGGUUUAGUCUUUAAAAAAUGUAUUGGAUCAUCAUUGCAUUUUGUUUCAUUAUUAAUCAAGAAACAGUAAAGACUUUGGAAGGAAGGUUUGCGUCUGACAAGAUUUUCGAAAAUUUUUCUUUUCUACUUGUUUAGCUUUCUAUUUGUAUUUUUUUUCUUUGGAUUUAAUUUAAGUCCCCACCUCCAAUGGUUUGUAAAUAUGUUAAUUGGUAAAUUUGAUUAUGAAUGAAUGAAAAUUUCACACAUCUUUACCUUAAAUAGUGUUUAUAAAAUGUGCAUGUAAAUUAAAUGAAUAAUUAGUUUGCAUCGCAUGGCAUGUGUCUCGCACUUCUUAUUCUGCAUUAUUUCUGAAUCAAGAAUCUCUAAUUUAGAUUAGUGCAUAUUAUCUGGCAUCCUAUCCAUUUCCAGUAGAACUGGUGGCAAUUUCAAAAAUUUUUUGAGUUUAAAAAUAUCCCAUCACCUCGUUGUGACAAUCUCUUUCAAUGUUUUGAGGCUAGAAGGAUAUGGGACUUAAUGUUAUCCCUUCUUAAUUUGUCUUGGGUGGUUUAUGGCUCAAUAAUGGAUAAAUUAUGGGGGGUGAGAUGAUAUUGACGGGCAUGCAAAUCCAAAAAGAAGCUCAUAUCCUUCAUCUGCUGUCGAUUAUCUGGAAAGAAAGAAUCAAGAGCGUUUACCAAAGCUUUUUGUGCCUUUUGUUUCUAUUAUAGAUAAAUGGUUCUAGACUUUUAAGUGUUUUGUUUAAUGUUCAUCCUCUUAGCUCUGAAGAUGAUCUAAGGAACUUAAUGGAUAUUUUGUUUUCUUGUGGUACCAUGUAAAGCCUAUCUUCUAUGUGGAUAGCACCACCUUGGUGUCUUGUUUAUAAUAGUUGUUUCUUGUUUCUCUCUCAAAAAAAAAAAGGAACACGUGAACUUUCUUUAUUGUUGGAGCAAAUUUAUUAUUUUUUUAUUAUCAUGGAAUGCAAUUUGCUUAUGCUCUGAAUCAUCCGCUUUUCCUUGAACAUGUAGUAAGAAAUGGGUGACAAAAAGAAGAAGACGUUUAUGUUCAUCCGACUUGUCUCGGCUGCUGGGACCGGAUUCUUCUAUGUGAAGAAGAAGAGUGCUAAGAAAGUUAUGGAGAAGCUGGAGUUUAGAAAGUAUGAUCCUCGUGUAAAUCGUCAUGUUCUGUUCACGGAAGCAAAAAUGAAAUGAGUUAACAAGACAAUGUACUAUUUCUGUUUCUAGUAGAUGAUCUAAGAAUCAAUCAGGACUAAAUAAAUAGAAUCAUGUGUUUGCUUAUGAAUCAUCAUUUCAUCUCUAUUCCAACUAUAGUUUUAAUUCUCACGGGUUAUGGCAAUGCAUAGUCAUUUCGACCUGGUAGGCGGAAAUUUUGAGAACUGAUGUGUUAAGCUGUGGGUUUGUAAAAUCACUGGAUCUUGAUGUUUGAGUAGUGAAUUUUGUGUUAAAUUCAUUACAAGGCUGCUAGUGCAGAAAAGCUAAUAGCGUUUGUUUUAGGCGUUUCCAUUUGGGGGGGGUGGGGGGGGGGGAUACAAAUUACCAACUGUUUGUUUGUUCGUGUGUUUUUUUUUAGUAAUUUUAUCAAGGGCGAAAAUUGAUUUGGAUCUCUUUUUUUUUUCUUUCUUUUUUCAAAUUAGUGAUUAUUAUUAUUAUAUGCAUUAUAAUAUAUAAUGUACACAGAGUACGUAUAAUUUCAAAAAAUAUAUACACACACACACAGUUCACAUAAACCUUAGCAAGUUUUAUGCUAUCCUUUUUCCUUCACAUUGCACUACUUUUAUUUCUUGAAUUUGUGCAGUCACAUUUCUAUCCAAAAGCAAAGAGUUUUAACUUAAUUAAUAAUUUUCAAUAUGUAAAUCAACAUUAAUAUUAAGAAGUACAAAUACAAUAUUUCUAAUAAUAAUUAUUCAUCUCGAACUUACAUUAAUUUGCUAGCGAGAGUUGUUAAUAAUUUAAAGUAGUUUUUUUUUUAACAAUAUCGUGAUCUUGUAAUAUAAAAUUAAAUUUGAGUCUCAGUAUGAUUUAGUUAUUAACUUAUUAUUCGAAUUUAAUUUUUUAAAUAUUAAGUUAUCUAAUUAUAUUCGAUUUAUUUUUGAAGACGUCUCACAAUGAAGAACAAAAUAAAGGUGGAUUUAUUCUUGAAGUUGAACUAAGAAGUAAGAGACUAAAGGACCAGUGCUCACUCAAGAUGGCAGUCAAGUUUCAAAGUCAUAGUGAGAUGACCACCAAUACCAAAGCUUUUGUUUGAGAAUAUUUUUCUCCUUACGAGGAAAAUGAUGAUAGGAAAGAUGAACUUAUGUUAAUGCUUUUUUUGUGUUAAUAAUAAAAGAAAUGAAAUUGCAUCAUUAAGCAUUAUAUCAAAUCUUGCAGAAAACAUUCUCUUCUUAGUGUUGAUAGUGUUGAACAAUAACGAUAUCCAUUUUUUGAGUGAGACGAAAGCAUAAGAACUCAAAAAUUUGAGUAGAAUACAGUUAGAAAAAGGUUAUUUGAAAUGUUUAUGUUAGAUGAAUUGCCUUUUGAAUUUGAUGAAGGAUAAGAUUUAGGUAAUUCAUAUCAAUUACUUAUCCCAUAUUUCAUAUUUCUUUUAGAUGGACAAUCUUUAAGGAUUGUUAUGAACUGUAUGUGAAUGUAAAAACGAAUUUCAAGUAGAUUUUGAGAUCUAAAAAUACGAGAGUAUUUUUUAUGGUAAAGACAUAGAAUCUUACACAAAGAGUCAAUUACAUAUGUAUCAUGACUCAUUUAUCAAUAAUGACUGAGAAUUGUGUAAAAGAAUAAUAAAUUUUUGUCUAAUUUCAAGCCAUAAAAGAGAGACUAUUUGUAAGAUAAUUGAGAAACAUGUACAUGAUCAGGAUAUUGAUAUGGUAUUCAAUGUGAUAAUUGAUAAUAUUAGUUGAAAUGAUAUUGCAAUUUCUUCCUUAAAGAAAAAAAAUUAGUAACAUGGGAACUAGUAUUUUGGAAGGUCGAUAUAUUUAUGUGAGAUGCAUUAUACAUAUCAUUAGUCUCAUUAUUGUUGAUGAUAUAAGGGAAAGAAGUGAGUUAGUUGCUCAUUCUAAAAGAGUUGUAAAAUGUAGUAGACAAUCACUAUUUAGAUAAUAAAAAUUAAAGAAUGUGUUGAAUUAAAAAUGAUACAACGUAAAAAGUUAUAUUUAAUGUAAAAAUCAAUGAAUGUUUCUUGACACUAUAUUAGAUAGAAAUCGACAUAUUUGAUAUUAGAGACUACCAAGAAGUUGAAUUGACAUUUAAAAGUUAUGAAAAACAUAUUUACAUCAUAGAAAAGUUUCAAUUAACUGAUAGGAUGCUUGAUUAUUUUGAUUAGAACUCCUUUAAGAGGUUAAUGGAUUAUAAAAUUUUUGUGAAAUUACAUUGAAAGUUUUGGAAUCACUUUGUGUUACUUCUAUCACUCUUUUCAAAAAGAUUUGAAAAGUUACUUGCAUGUUACAAGAAUGACAAUUAAGUGAUGAUCUUGACUUGACUUCAAUGACAAAACAAAAAAGAAAGGAAAAAUAUGGCAAGUAUAAGAGGAACGUUGAGAAAAUAGCCAUGUUAGACACUUGACCCAUAACAUAAGUUGUAAUACUUGGACUUUUGUUUUAAAAGAAUAUACAUGGAUGAAUAAUUUGUUGCAAUGUCAAAGAUGGUGGUGAAACUUGCUUAUGAGUUACACUAUGAGUACAACUGCCAUAAAUUAAGCAAGUAGAUGAUAACAAUCAAAUAAUUUAAAGUAGUUAAAGUCACGUUUCUCAAUCACAAUAAGAAAAUUUUUUUCGAGUUAAAAAAAGGUUGAUGUGAGCACUAGUAGCAACAGAAGACAAUUAUGGAAAAUACAAUAAUCCCGCUUGAAGUAGGACUUUCGGGGGAAACAAGAAUCCUGUGGGAAUGCAACUCGCGGGCAUUUACCUCCACAGGAAGGAUAUACAAAGUGCACAAUGUGCAUGCAUGCAACAUGGGAGCCGUACGUGCACAAGUGCAAGGACGCCACACACACAUGUGCGUUGCAUGCCCGAAAAAAAGAAAAUUCUCGCAAGGACUCCCAUAGGUCUCGCCCCAAAUAGGCAAGUUAUUUCAUAUUCUUUGUGUUAUCUAAAUUGAAUCUUUUUAAAGAAGAAAGUAUCUGUACCCUUAAUCAUUUUCCUAAUUGAGAUUAUUUUAAAGAAUAGGAAAAGUUUGUUCAAAGAAGGCUUGAGGCCUAAAUGACGUUUCAUGGGCUUAAGGAACCACAUGUCAAGGUGCAAGGCCGAGCCUUAUCCCAAAACGAGGAAGACUGGGAUUUAUUUAACCAUGAAGGCCCGCGACAAAAGUAUAUUAUGAUGUGAGGCCCUUAGCUCAUAUGUGCGAGCUUGAAGAAUGAUAAAUGAGAAAGAAUGCCAUAUUUAGCCUAAACUGAUAAGAGGAACAAGGCCUCUCGACAAAAGAGGGCCAUGACCCAAGGAGGCCGCACCAAAAGGGAGCGAGCCAGACCAUGCCACAACCUUGGAGAGCUUUUACUUGCACGCAAGAAGGCGUGCUUAUGCAAGAAAGUCAUCCUGCACUCGCAACCAACCCACACAUGUCGGGAGAACUUGCCUGUACGGGAGAAACAUGCAAACAAGGAAUUUGAUGCCAAAAAGGAUUUUCUUUGUUUUUAUUUCCACAUGUAAAUUUUAUGGUUGAUUUCUCAAGAAGAAUUCUGCAACAACUUGAAGUCCAAAAGAAGAAAAACACAUGAGAAAUAUGGUAAAAAUGAGGAGUCUUAUUUAAAUAAUAUUAUAUUAAUUUUUAAUUAAUAUUUUAUUGCUUAAUUUAUCCUUAAAAAUUAAUUAUUAUUUUCAGAUUAAGAUUAAGUUAAACUAGAUUUUGGUAAAGUUUCAAUUAAAUAUAAGUGACUGUAAUUAUUUAGAAGUAUCCUAGUAAAAGCCUAUAUAAAGGCCUCACAUUAGGUUGUGAUAUACAAUUCUGUUGAUUGAUAAAAUUAUUCAGUUUUGUUGUUACAUUAGUUUUGCUAAUUUCGAGAGUGAGUGUUCUUCAAGGGAAGUUGUUUUGAUUAUCUUAUUGACUGAGAUAGGGAAUCAAAAUCAACUUAUUGAGUAAGUCAUGACAUUUUUUUUAUUCUUUUUUAUUUUUUCAGUUAUCUUGAAUUGCCUUUAAAUUGCUGAUUGUGAUUCAAGUAGGGACGUCUUAAUUUAGGAAAUUAAGUUUUUGCAUGGUAAGUAUAGUGAGUUCAUGAUCAAUGUGUUUUUGAUCUUAGAGCUCCUCGCAUCAAAGAUUGUAGCCUAUGAAAUUAAAUAUAAAAAGUUCAUGACUAAAAGUUGGAGGUAGAGGUAGAAAAUUAAAGUAUGAAAAGUACUUAAAUGAAGAAUUGAUAAGGAUGAUAAAGAGGAUUAUGGUAUCUUUGAUUGAUGGAAACUUAACAAUUAUAUACUUCUUAUCCUAUCUCAGUUGACUAAUGGUGUAUUGACAAUACUUGUGUCUACAGUUUCUUAUGAAUUUGUAUUUAGCAUGGAUGAACAUAUUUGGCACAUACAAGAUUUUAUUUACUCCUAAGAUUGUAAAAACUCUUGUUUAUGUACAAGAUUAGUUUAGAAAAGUUCAAUCUUCAGAAGGUUUUCAAAAAAUGACAUAAGUUAAUAAGAGGGAAUGAAUAAGAUCUUAGAUAACUAUUUUUUUAUUGGUAUUUCAAAUAUUAGCUUUUUAUUCUUAGAAUUAAAUUUAUAUACAUUUUACUUUCCUACCUUCAAAACAGCAGAGAUUACAUUUGAUUUUAUUAUGAGAUUUUCUAGUAAUAUUUUAUGUUUUAAUUAUGUAAUAAAUUUGUAUUUUAUUUAUUGCAUGAGCUAUUCAAUUUCUAAUUUAUGAGGUUCUAUAUUUAACCGUAUGACUUAUUUAUUAUUUCAAAUACAGAUAAUGAUGGUUGAUUAGUGAAUCAAUUGAUAACGGUUGUGUUGCUUUUAGGUAUAAUUUUAAUUUGAAAAUUUUGAAAUGUGGAUUAUGUGUGGAAGUUGGAACUUCAAAGUUUAGAACUUUGAUAUUUGAUCACACAUGUAUGAUGUAUAAUACAUUUAAUUAGAACUUAUUUUAUAUGUAUGGUAUAAAUUAUGUAAAUGUUAUAUAUGAAUUUGGAUGAGUUUGAAUGAUUGGAUUAUGAAAUGUAUGAAUUUUGGUACAAAUUGAAUAAUGGAUUAUGGUUGAAAUGUAUGGUAUGAAAUUUAUGGAUUUUGAUUUAGAUUUCGAUUUUAGAACAAAUGAAUUUGAAUGAAUGGUUGGAAUGCUAUACAUUAAUAUUGGAUUUAGAUUUAAAUUUGAAAUGGGAUCUUGUGGAUUUUAUUUUUUAAUUAUAUUAUUUUGUGUUUGAUAUAAUUAAUAUAUGUUCACAAAUUAUAGAAAAGAAUGUUUUGAAUUUUCUAGCAUUUCUUUGGUUUUCAAUAAGUAAUUGAUUAUCGAACUUAUUUAUUAUAUUCAGUUUUAAUUUUAUUCGUCAAAUUGAUAAAUCGGUUCAAUUAUACCGAUUUAAUCAGUUUUUACGUUUAACUAAACUAACUAAAUAUUUUUUUAACAAAAAGGUUUUGAACCAUAAGAUAAGAUAAUAAUCCUGUGCCUUAUCUUACACCAAUGAAAUUCUGUAUAUCAACAAAUCCUAUCAGAGAGCAUUAAAUAAAUCAGUAACUUAAUACCACUUGUAAAAUAGAAUGCUUGAUUGGUUAGAUAAUUGUAUCAACAUGAUACCUCUUUAAAAACAAUGAUCUUAUCAAAUCAUUGAGAUAAUGUUAAAGUCACUAACAUCUUGAAGGAGUAGUAUUCAUUAGUAGGAAUCUCUCCUCAUCCGCAACAUGUUUCCUUGUUUAACGCGUUAGAUGAAUCUUGCCAAGAAGAUAAUCUCUCAUCUUGCCACGUGACCUAUAAUUAACCUUUUAAAAAAUUCUUAUGCGAUUCUAGGAUUCCUUUUGAUAAUUUUAGGAUUCCUUAUUUUUUUUUUCUUUUCUAUAAGUUUUCUAUGAUUGAGUUAUUUUUCUUUGUUUUGACAAUUAAUUUGACUAGUAAAAAAUUUACACAUAAAAAAUUUUGAUAUUCUACUAAUUCUAUUAUUUGUUUCCUAAAGGUCUAACAUUUCUAUACUACAAAACUUAAAAAUAAAUUACACAAAUGAAGUUUACUUUUAUGCAAAAUUUGACUUUGACGAUGAAUAAAUUAUACCUUAAUAAAAUGAUUGUUACUUUCAUCUUUUAAUAAGAGACUGAUGGUUUCACUCGAACUAUACGUUUCCGAUUAUUCUUAUUAAAAGAUUGUAUUAUAUGAUAUUAAUAUGCUAUUUAAUUAAUGAAAUAUAUAAAUUUUAAUUAAAAAGACUUUCCCGAUAAAAAAAAAUUAUCUUAUAUAACUAGAAUACAUUAAUCAUAUUAUAUUUCUAUUGUUCACAUAAUACAAAUCAUCCUCUAUAAAUUGUUUUAACCACUUAUAUUUAUAAUAAGUUAUUAACAAAAAUGAAAUACUAUAAUACAAUGAAUUCAUAUUACAAAAUAAUAUCUUCCCAUUAAAAGUAAUAAUUUAAUUUUACCACAAUCAAAUCCUUUGUUUCUAUUUCCUGUCACCACAUAAAGAAAACAAUCCCACCAGCCAAAUUUUAAAAUUAGAAGAUUAUCUCCCUUUCAAAAUCAGUAAAAGACUCUAUCAUACCAAUCAAUUAGGAAAAUGGAAGGGCACAUCCAUGCCUUCGAGAUAUACAGGAAAAAUAACACACGGCUCCCAUAUUACCCUUUACCAUGUAUUUCUCCAUUACUUUUCCAUUUCAGGUUUUUAAAUACUUUAUAUGUAUAUACGUCAUAUCAAUAUCAAAUAUCUCUCUAUCUAUCCAUUUCUGUGAUUUCCAUUGACGUGGCCCAAUGAAGAGCGAUAUGCCAGUCUGCCACUUUCGUGUUCUGUAGUGUGAAGUCUAUAUAAUGAUUUCAAAUCAAUGAAUUCUGAGCUUCACUCUCAAAAAUACUAUAGGGUCCACCUUGGUUUUGAAUUUGCAGAGUGCUUGUGCGCUCACCACAUACCCUUUCUUCUUCUUCUUUUAAAUUUAUUUCUGUUUUAUUUAUUAUUCGUCUCUGUCUUUUCCACCAUCAUCUCUUCUAUUACUUCACUGUGGGAAAAAAAAAGGAGAAACCUUUCUGUUAAUCUUCUGCAUUAUUGCAAUCUAGACUCUCUAAAAUUUUCUGCGUUGUUCUUGUUUUGAGCGCUACUCGUUCUUCUUGGCCUUGUUUUUGUUGUUGUUGGUUUCUGCCAUGGCGCUCUGUGCUUUCUCAUUUCCUGCCUAUAUCAGCCGAGCAACAAUUUCUGAUCCUCAGGAGUCCACUUCUCUGUCUUCUCAUUUGUUGUCAGCUCCGGAUCUGCCAUGCGUGCCUCCGCUGAAGCACAAGCAGGUUAGCUUACGUGUAUAUCUUAUCGGUUUAAUAAAUGAAAACAGGCUCAUUACUCGAAAUAAA